This is a small nuclear RNA of Mustela putorius furo (domestic ferret), 107 nucleotides long. The record is from Ensembl. Lineage: Eukaryota; Metazoa; Chordata; Mammalia; Carnivora; Mustelidae.
GUGCUUGCUUUGGCAGCACAUACACUAAAAUUGGAAGCAUAUAGACAAGAUUAGCAUGGCCCCUGUGUAAGGAUGACAUGCAAAUUUGUAAAGUGUUCUACAUUCUU